Molecule: ribosomal RNA, 115 nt
Filed under: Nevskiaceae bacterium
Lineage: Bacteria; Pseudomonadati; Pseudomonadota; Gammaproteobacteria; Nevskiales; Nevskiaceae
Also listed under: 3 other names
Source: RNAcentral
CUUGGCGGCAAUAGCGAGUUGGAACCACCUGUUCCCAUCCCGAACACAGAAGUGAAACAGCUCAGCGCCGAUGAUAGUGUGGCGUUAGCCAUGUGAGAGUAGGACACUGCCAAGC